UAUACUUGUUAUUCUCAAAGAGACUC
Molecule: non-coding RNA, 26 nt
Filed under: Cricetulus griseus (Chinese hamster)
Lineage: Eukaryota; Metazoa; Chordata; Mammalia; Rodentia; Cricetidae
Source: RNAcentral